GGGUCUUCUACCUACAUAGAGCUGUAUUACACUAAAAUAGUGGUUAUACGGAGAUAUAUCAAUUGGGGAUACUUUUAUUCCUUUGUUAGUUAGGGUAUAUCUAAGGUGUAGUAGUUUUGUCUUACAUUUUCCCUGUAUUUAAGAGAUACUUAACUUUUAAUAGACAGAAUAAAGAUACAUUUUACAUCUAUAUUUGAGUGCGGUAUAUGUAUUUAUUGUAAUUAUCCAGCGUAUUCAUUGAGGGCUACCCUGAUACCUAGCUCCACUAGGUUUGAAGAGUGCCGGUGCAUAUUGAUUUUUCAAUGCUGCAUAUCUGUCCAAUGUGGACCCAUGAGGAAAGAACAGAGUGACAAUU
Non-coding RNA from Pelobates cultripes (western spadefoot toad), 355 nucleotides. The record is from the annotation of a GenBank genome assembly. Lineage: Eukaryota; Metazoa; Chordata; Amphibia; Anura; Pelobatidae.